CGCGGCGCCCCGGAGCGUACCCCGUCUGCAAAGCACACCCGCGCCGAUGCGUGCGAGCAGCGGCGUGACUGGCGGGCUGCAGCGCGGGGGGUGGGGGGGAGGGGGGCAUCCUGGCCUCGGGGAUAACGAUUUGGGAACCGGCUUCCAGCACCCUUUGCCCCCCCACCCCCACCCCGGUUCCGCCGCUUUGCCUCCCUCCUGCCCAACGCCGCCCACCCCCGGGGGGGGGGGGGUGAGGAGAGACGACUGGGCGCCCGAAGCCCGAGCGUUCCCUCCAGCGACUCCGGCGCCGCGGGGCCUACGCCCGCCCUCGGUGGGCUCCGCUCGCGGUCCCCCCGGGCGCGCGCAGGGACAGCCACCAACUCCGCACCUCAGUUUGUAAAACCACCUGGCGACGUGCGCACCCUGGGGCCGCCGUCCCCGCCCGCGUGCAAACUCCGCGCCCCUCUUCCAGGUUCCCUCCGAGUCUCCCCGCCCCCAGCCAGGUGCCGGCCUCCCGGCUGUCCCCGCUCUUCUGCCGUCCAGCAGCUGCUCUCCCGCGACGUCGCCCUGCAGAAUAUGGGCAGCGCUGAGUGGGGCUGUGUUUUGUAAAUUAGGCAACACUGGAGACACGCGGACGAGUACAGAAAAUAGUGUUGACGACACCCACGCCCCCCACUCGAGAUUAAACCUAAAACACUCUGCUCCACUUGCUUGGUAUUUAUUAAAGAAAGAUAAAUUUAGACCUAACUAAAGCCCCACCCUUAUUCUUUCUCUUUCCUCCCUAGUCGCUGUUGUGCGUAUCGUUCUACUCAUGUUUUUAUAGUUUUAUUACGUAUGAUACAUGAAUCUGCCAACUGCGCCGAGUACCAACUUCUGUUUUUUAGUUUUACAAAAAUGACAUCAUGCUGAAUAGUCUUUUGCAACCUUUGUCGUUUCCUAUUAUGUUUUUGAGAUUCGUUUAUGAUUUAACUGCUGUGUAGUAGUAUUUCAUUGUUUUCCUCGUGUCUCAGAGCAUAUAGCUGGAUUGCUUAGAAUUUUUAGUACGAGACUAUAUCUCUGCUAGCUAGAGUUUAGCUUGUUUUGUUAUGAUUGGAUUAAUUUUAAUUGUAACUGAAUUCUUCUGUUUUAUUUUGUGGUAUUUACCAUACUUUUUCUUCUUACUUUCUGCUUUCCUGUUAAUGUUGUCCGGGUUCAGGUUCAGAGAACAGAAUUCAUUCUGGAAACUUUAAGUACAAAAGGAUUUACUCUAGGGUAUAAAAUGGCUUAAGGAUUUCUCUGGAGGGUGAAGAUUCUAGGUUGGACAUUCAGGAGUGACUUUGGGAGCCACUUUGAGACUCUGAGAGCAGAACCAGGCCACCAGAAGAGCCACUGCCCCUUCUGAAAUCUGGAAGCUACUUACUGAAUUGGAAAGCUGUCCCUACAGCUGCCAGCUUCUGAACCUGUACAGCUAUUGUGAUGAUAAGACUCCACUGGAGCGAAAUCAGACCCCUCCCCGGCUGUCCUCACAAACAGAAACAGCACACACCCAGACCCUGCUGCACUUGCGCCUUACAAACCAAAUCAGAGAGAAAAUCUGAUUGGAAGAGCCAAAAUGGCGUCCAGAAUCCCAGCUUUCGAAAUACAGCAAGGCACAGUUGGACGUCGGAAUGGGUAUUGAACUAAUUCCACAAUGUUCGUCCACCGAUUCACCAAGGCAGUUGUCCACCAUAGCUCCCUUUUAUUGCCCCGAAUGACUGGUUUUUAUUUCCAUAUUUCUCCUAUCUGAUUUGGAAGAUAUCCUAUUCCAUUUCUAUCCUUAUUAUGGUUAGCCUGAUCAUUUUUAAUCCCUUAAUCAAAUAAAUACACGUGAGUUGUUUAGCAAUAGUUUAACAAGGCCCAUAAUUUUAAAAAGAAGCAAUUCCCAAUUCCCACUGGAAAUAAAUUUGCCCUGCUGUUUUGUGAUUUUUGUUUUCAGUUUUAGAUAUUAUUUACUUUCUGUUAUGGAAAAGGAUGCCCUGGCUAUUUUGUAUGCUCAACAAAAAUAUGAUCUUCCCUGCUCCCAUUCUUUCAAUGUGGUUAUAUGAUCAUUUUUGGUAAGUCACUAAGUGCUUACAUAGUGUACUAUAGUUCCAUUUUUAUACUUUUGGGGGGGGUAAUCACGGCCUCUGCUUUUUAUUUGCUUACAUUUCUAUCAACCCAUUGCAAACUCUUUCCCAAACUCUCCAACAGAGCAGUGGAAGACAUCACUGUGGGUGUGAAUGGUCAGCUGGGGGGGGAUCUUCUCUCCCGGAGUACUUUGAUCUCUUGUUCCGCCCGGACUGCUUGCUCUACGGGCCUACUGAGUGCUGUCGUGCUGGCCCUGUCCUCACCUCCAUCCCGUCAUCCCCCGUCCUCUGACCUGCUUCCUACACCCCGGGUUGUGGUCUGCUUCACAUCCUCCUUCAUUUUAGUGGAGAACAUUCUCCCAUAGUUUCCUGGUUGGGGGGGGGGGGAGAAAAAGAGUACAGAAAAGAUAAAAUCCUUGCAACCGAGUGUGUGUUCAUUUUACUCUCCUAUUUGAUUGACAGUUUGGCUAAGAAUAGUCUGGUUCGCGGGAAGUCUUGUUCACUUAGAUCUCUGAAUGUAUUGCUUCACUGUUUUCUCGCUUCUCAGGUUGCUUUUGAGAAGGCCACUCACAUUCUGUUUUCUUUGUGGCUGACCUGGUUUUUGAGGGCCGGUAUUGUUUGUUUAUUUUUGUUUUGUCUCCCUCCCCAUUCUCUGCAGGCUUAGUGUGCUGAUGUUUUAUGACGAUGUGCCUCGGUGUGGAGCUUUCGUUGUCCGCUGUGCAGGGCGGCGAUACGUGUGCAGAAACCGGACACCUCACCCUUCAGUUCUGAAAACCUGUCUUAUUGUUUGAGGUGAUGCCUGGAGCUCUGGAGCCGUCUUGCAACCAGGGAAAGAGAAAGCAUAAGAACAAAUUCAGCAUUCAGAAAGACAAAAAACAACUUUGCCAUUGUUGGAUAGCUUAACCAGCACCUAGUUUUCCUCUGGAUUUAUGUGAAAUAAAUUUGUUGAAAUCACUAGA
Felis catus (domestic cat) is the source of this 3025-nucleotide long non-coding RNA. RefSeq lists it as uncharacterized. The transcript is spliced from 2 exons. NCBI's taxonomy places the organism in Eukaryota, Metazoa, Chordata, Mammalia, Carnivora, Felidae. The record is from RefSeq and is a predicted model, not a curated record.